Molecule: ribosomal RNA, 545 nt
Filed under: Salmonella enterica subsp. enterica serovar Typhimurium str. ST4581
Lineage: Bacteria; Pseudomonadati; Pseudomonadota; Gammaproteobacteria; Enterobacterales; Enterobacteriaceae
Description: bacterial SSU rRNA
Rfam family: Bacterial small subunit ribosomal RNA
Source: RNAcentral
AAAUUGAAGAGUUUGAUCAUGGCUCAGAUUGAACGCUGGCGGCAGGCCUAACACAUGCAAGUCGAACGGUAACAGGAAGCAGCUUGCUGCUUUGCUGACGAGUGGCGGACGGGUGAGUAAUGUCUGGGAAACUGCCUGAUGGAGGGGGAUAACUACUGGAAACGGUGGCUAAUACCGCAUAACGUCGCAAGACCAAAGAGGGGGACCUUCGGGCCUCUUGCCAUCAGAUGUGCCCAGAUGGGAUUAGCUUGUUGGUGAGGUAACGGCUCACCAAGGCGACGAUCCCUAGCUGGUCUGAGAGGAUGACCAGCCACACUGGAACUGAGACACGGUCCAGACUCCUACGGGAGGCAGCAGUGGGGAAUAUUGCACAAUGGGCGCAAGCCUGAUGCAGCCAUGCCGCGUGUAUGAAGAAGGCCUUCGGGUUGUAAAGUACUUUCAGCGGGGAGGAAGGUGUUGCGGUUAAUAACCGCAGCAAUUGACGUUACCCGCAGAAGAAGCACCGGCUAACUCCGUGCCAGCAGCCGCGGUAAUACGGAGGGUGC